Molecule: ribosomal RNA, 159 nt
Filed under: Tricholoma flavovirens
Lineage: Eukaryota; Fungi; Basidiomycota; Agaricomycetes; Agaricales; Tricholomataceae
Also listed under: 1 other name
Description: 5.8S ribosomal RNA
Rfam family: 5.8S ribosomal RNA
About the family: 5.8S ribosomal RNA (5.8S rRNA) is a component of the large subunit of the eukaryotic ribosome.
Source: RNAcentral
CAACUUUCAACAACGGAUCUCUUGGCUCUCGCAUCGAUGAAGAACGCAGCGAAAUGCGAUAAGUAAUGUGAAUUGCAGAAUUCAGUGAAUCAUCGAAUCUUUGAACGCACCUUGCGCUCCUUGGUAUUCCGAGGAGCAUGCCUGUUUGAGUGUCAUAAA